This is a non-coding RNA of Kogia breviceps (pygmy sperm whale), 353 nucleotides long. The record is from RefSeq and is a predicted model, not a curated record. NCBI's taxonomy places the organism in Eukaryota, Metazoa, Chordata, Mammalia, Artiodactyla, Physeteridae.
CUGCCUCGGAAACUACAUAACGACUGGGAAGGACCUACAAACAAGACUGGAACCAGUAGGAAGUUGUACAGUGGGAAGAAGAGGAUGGUCAAGAUUGACUGGCUGGAAGAUGAGAGAGCUCCCUCCUGAUGGUUUCUACUUGCCUUUGAAAUUCAUCAGCUAAGGCCAAGAAGAAGCAAGGGGUUCAUCAAACCAAAUUUGAACCUUCAGCUACUCCACUUGAAAAAUCAUGAUGGUUGGUUUAAGAAUCAGCAAGGUCUUUGAAGUUCUCUGGCAUGCAAGGCAAAUUAUAACUGGCUUCUUAACUGACAUCCGCCUCCUAUUGUGAAGGCAUGAACACCUAAUCCUAAAAC